Molecule: transfer RNA, 75 nt
Filed under: Marine Group II euryarchaeote MED-G35
Lineage: Archaea; Methanobacteriati; Thermoplasmatota; Candidatus Poseidoniia; Candidatus Poseidoniales
Also listed under: 6 other names
Description: tRNA-Thr
Rfam family: tRNA
About the family: Transfer RNA (tRNA) molecules are approximately 80 nucleotides in length. Their secondary structure includes four short double-helical elements and three loops (D, anti-codon, and T loops).
Source: RNAcentral
GCCACUGUGGCUUAGAGGUAUAGCGUCGCCUUGGUAAGGCGAAGGUCGGGGGUUCAAUUCCCCCCAGUGGCUCCA